This 1522-nucleotide ribosomal RNA is filed under the name Salmonella enterica. RNAcentral describes it as "bacterial SSU rRNA". It matches the Rfam family "Bacterial small subunit ribosomal RNA". Lineage: Bacteria; Pseudomonadati; Pseudomonadota; Gammaproteobacteria; Enterobacterales; Enterobacteriaceae. RNAcentral also lists the same sequence under 2 other names. The record is from RNAcentral.
AGAGUUUGAUCAUGGCUCAGAUUGAACGCUGGCGGCAGGCCUAACACAUGCAAGUCGAACGGUAACAGGAAGCAGCUUGCUGCUUUGCUGACGAGUGGCGGACGGGUGAGUAAUGUCUGGGAAACUGCCUGAUGGAGGGGGAUAACUACUGGAAACGGUGGCUAAUACCGCAUAACGUCGCAAGACCAAAGAGGGGGACCUUCGGGCCUCUUGCCAUCAGAUGUGCCCAGAUGGGAUUAGCUUGUUGGUGAGGUAACGGCUCACCAAGGCGACGAUCCCUAGCUGGUCUGAGAGGAUGACCAGCCACACUGGAACUGAGACACGGUCCAGACUCCUACGGGAGGCAGCAGUGGGGAAUAUUGCACAAUGGGCGCAAGCCUGAUGCAGCCAUGCCGCGUGUAUGAAGAAGGCCUUCGGGUUGUAAAGUACUUUCAGCGGGGAGGAAGGUGUUGUGGUUAAUAACCACAGCAAUUGACGUUACCCGCAGAAGAAGCACCGGCUAACUCCGUGCCAGCAGCCGCGGUAAUACGGAGGGUGCAAGCGUUAAUCGGAAUUACUGGGCGUAAAGCGCACGCAGGCGGUCUGUCAAGUCGGAUGUGAAAUCCCCGGGCUCAACCUGGGAACUGCAUUCGAAACUGGCAGGCUUGAGUCUUGUAGAGGGGGGUAGAAUUCCAGGUGUAGCGGUGAAAUGCGUAGAGAUCUGGAGGAAUACCGGUGGCGAAGGCGGCCCCCUGGACAAAGACUGACGCUCAGGUGCGAAAGCGUGGGGAGCAAACAGGAUUAGAUACCCUGGUAGUCCACGCCGUAAACGAUGUCUACUUGGAGGUUGUGCCCUUGAGGCGUGGCUUCCGGAGCUAACGCGUUAAGUAGACCGCCUGGGGAGUACGGCCGCAAGGUUAAAACUCAAAUGAAUUGACGGGGGCCCGCACAAGCGGUGGAGCAUGUGGUUUAAUUCGAUGCAACGCGAAGAACCUUACCUGGUCUUGACAUCCACGGAAGUUUUCAGAGAUGAGAAUGUGCCUUCGGGAACCGUGAGACAGGUGCUGCAUGGCUGUCGUCAGCUCGUGUUGUGAAAUGUUGGGUUAAGUCCCGCAACGAGCGCAACCCUUAUCCUUUGUUGCCAGCGGUCCGGCCGGGAACUCAAAGGAGACUGCCAGUGAUAAACUGGAGGAAGGUGGGGAUGACGUCAAGUCAUCAUGGCCCUUACGACCAGGGCUACACACGUGCUACAAUGGCGCAUACAAAGAGAAGCGACCUCGCGAGAGCAAGCGGACCUCAUAAAGUGCGUCGUAGUCCGGAUUGGAGUCUGCAACUCGACUCCAUGAAGUCGGAAUCGCUAGUAAUCGUGGAUCAGAAUGCCACGGUGAAUACGUUCCCGGGCCUUGUACACACCGCCCGUCACACCAUGGGAGUGGGUUGCAAAAGAAGUAGGUAGCUUAACCUUCGGGAGGGCGCUUACCACUUUGUGAUUCAUGACUGGGGUGAAGUCGUAACAAGGUAACCGUAGGGGAACCUGCGGUUG